Molecule: ribosomal RNA, 751 nt
Filed under: Stenotrophomonas hibiscicola
Lineage: Bacteria; Pseudomonadati; Pseudomonadota; Gammaproteobacteria; Lysobacterales; Lysobacteraceae
Description: bacterial SSU rRNA
Rfam family: Bacterial small subunit ribosomal RNA
Source: RNAcentral
CGGCAGCACAGAGGAGCUUGCUCCUUGGGUGGCGAGUGGCGGACGGGUGAGGAAUACAUCGGAAUCUACUCUGUCGUGGGGGAUAACGUAGGGAAACUUACGCUAAUACCGCAUACGACCUACGGGUGAAAGCAGGGGAUCUUCGGACCUUGCGCGAUUGAAUGAGCCGAUGUCGGAUUAGCUAGUUGGCGGGGUAAAGGCCCACCAAGGCGACGAUCCGUAGCUGGUCUGAGAGGAUGAUCAGCCACACUGGAACUGAGACACGGUCCAGACUCCUACGGGAGGCAGCAGUGGGGAAUAUUGGACAAUGGGCGCAAGCCUGAUCCAGCCAUACCGCGUGGGUGAAGAAGGCCUUCGGGUUGUAAAGCCCUUUUGUUGGGAAAGAAAUCCAUCUGGUUAAUACCCGGGUGGGAUGACGGUACCCAAAGAAUAAGCACCGGCUAACUUCGUGCCAGCAGCCGCGGUAAUACGAAGGGUGCAAGCGUUACUCGGAAUUACUGGGCGUAAAGCGUGCGUAGGUGGUCGUUUAAGUCCGUUGUGAAAGCCCUGGGCUCAACCUGGGAACUGCAGUGGAUACUGGGCGACUAGAAUGUGGUAGAGGGUAGCGGAAUUCCUGGUGUAGCAGUGAAAUGCGUAGAGAUCAGGAGGAACAUCCAUGGCGAAGGCAGCUACCUGGACCCAACAUUGACACUGAGGCACGAAAGCGUGGGGAGCAAAACAGGAUUAGAUACCCUGGUAGUCCACGCCCUAA